This 319-nucleotide ribosomal RNA is filed under the name uncultured Methanomassiliicoccales archaeon. Its description in RNAcentral is "bacterial SSU rRNA". It matches the Rfam family "Archaeal small subunit ribosomal RNA", at positions 719 to 1037 of the family's 1478-position model. Lineage: Archaea; Methanobacteriati; Thermoplasmatota; Thermoplasmata; Methanomassiliicoccales. The record is from RNAcentral.
GCAAACGGGAUUAGAUACCCCGGUAGUCCAGGGUGUAAACGCUGCCGACUUGGUGUUGGAGGCCCUUCGGGGGCAUUCAGUGCCGGAGAGAAGUUGUUAAGUCGGCUACUUGGGGAGUACGUCCGCAAGGAUGAAACUUAAAGGAAUUGGCGGGGGAGCACCGCAACGGGAGGAGCGUGCGGUUUAAUUGGAUUCAACACCGGAAAACUCACCAAGGGCGACUGUUACAUGAAAGCCAGGCUAAUGACCUUGCUUGAUUUUCAGAGAGGUGGUGCAUGGCCGUCGUCAGUUCGUACCGUAAGGCGUUCUCUUAAGUGAG